Molecule: ribosomal RNA, 397 nt
Filed under: uncultured bacterium
Lineage: Bacteria
Description: partial 16S ribosomal RNA
Rfam family: Bacterial small subunit ribosomal RNA
Source: RNAcentral
CUACGUAGGGGGCGAGCGUUGUCCGGAAUGAUUGGGCGUAAAGGGCGCGUAGGCGGCCCGGUAAGUCUGGAGUGAAAGUCCUGUUUUUAAGAUGGGAAUUGCUUUGGAUACUGUCGGGCUUGAGUGCAGGAGAGGUAAGUGGAAUUCCCAGUGUAGCGGUGAAAUGCGUAGAGAUUGGGAGGAACACCAGUGGCGAAGGCGACUUACAGGACUUUAACUGACGCUGAGGCGCGAAAGUGUGGGGAGCAAACAUGAUUAGAUACCCUGGUAGUCCACACUGUAAACGAUGAAUGCUAGGUGUAAGAGGUAUCGACCCCUUUUGUGCCGGAGUCAACACAAUAAGCAUUCCGCCUGGGGAGUACGGUCGCAAGGUUGACUCUCAAAUGAAUUGACGGGG